This is a long non-coding RNA of Dalotia coriaria, 1226 nucleotides long. RefSeq lists it as uncharacterized. The record is from RefSeq and is a predicted model, not a curated record. NCBI's taxonomy places the organism in Eukaryota, Metazoa, Arthropoda, Insecta, Coleoptera, Staphylinidae. The transcript is spliced from 2 exons.
CGCUCUAUAAGUUUUCUUUAUGUGAAAUGUUUCAUUUACCGUUUUUCUUAAUUAUUUAUUAUUCUUAAUUUUUUCACAUAAAAAGUAAGAAUUAUGCGAUGAUUAGUUAGAAAAACUACUUUUAGACAUCAAUUCAUAAUAAAAUAUACAAUUUUUUAUUGUUCUAGGGCAGAAAAAUUAAUUAUUUCUUGCAAAUAUCUAAAGAAAAGCACAUUUUCAUGCUUAUACAAUUUAGAAACACCCUGUACAUCAAGGUAUGUUUAUAUCUACAUUAUUAUUGCAAUUUGAUAUCAUCUGGCUAAUAUUUUGUUCUCGAAUAAUUUUUGCGCGUGGACUGUGCAUGAUUUUCUUAUCAAAAUAUUUUUAGAAAUUGAUAUUGGCACUUAAACAUACUCCUGCAAUCUAAAUGAGUGUGCAAGUGAAAUUUAUAUGAAAUAACAAAUGUAUAUGUUGUUUAUGUUUUACCGUCGUAAUAAUCGUGAACAAAAGAGGGACGUAGGCAAAUUAGGCAAAACAUCACAUCUCAGUUGAGCGUUUGUUUAAAGUAAGUUUUAAUCAUUUAGUUAUAUUAAACUAUUGCAUUUUAUAGUGUUAUCAUAAUAUACUUUGAACAAAGUCGUCAAAUAUAACAAAUAAUGAUCAUUUUUAGUUUUAGUUUUGUUUUUAAGUUUUUAUUCAAGUCACGAUGAUAAUUGCAAUUAUUUUUUAAUAUUCAACGUAAAAUCAUCAAAUUUAUAAUAAAAAAUAACCAGGAACUGGAAACUGGAAAUUUCGGGAGAAAAUUGUUCAAGUUUUAUUCCAACGAUGAUUCAAAUAUUUCCAGUAAACGUGGAUGUGAUCAGCGUCACAAGUCUUUUCUUCUUCGUGCCGGAGAGUCACACCCACAUGCCAGCGGUAUGUUCACAGAACACAAGAAAUAGAGAACGUUUACAAUUUUAUAGCGUCAUUCUCUCACAUAUAUCUCUUUUGAUACUUACGCUCGCAUCUCGUCGACGACACGUCGCUGUUUGUUACAGUGUUGCUUGUUAAGUACACUGCGGCCGUACCACUAAUGCCCUCGACUGUUUGCCCACGUCGCACUUAGCUUGAAGCCUUAUCGAGGCGUCGACUGUCGACAACCAUGAAGCCGACUGACAUUGAAACCGUUAAAGGUGUAUUUAGGUAGUCUUUGUCUCCUCUAAAGGUAUAUUGAUAGAUAAAAUAUAUUUAAAACAUGUUUCUUCAAA